Malus domestica (apple) is the source of this 2426-nucleotide non-coding RNA. NCBI's taxonomy places the organism in Eukaryota, Viridiplantae, Streptophyta, Magnoliopsida, Rosales, Rosaceae. The record is from RefSeq and is a predicted model, not a curated record.
ACUCUCUCUCACCAUUUUCAGCUUUUCCUUAUUUUGGAGCCCUAGGUUUUUUCUCUCUCCCACGCCUUCGUUGUUUUCGCUAUCCGUCCUUCGCGUCUUUGUCUCGCCGAUUAUUCACGGCCGUUUUCUUCUCGGAAAACUAACGAUCUCUGGUGAGUUUUUUGCAGUUCUUGCCGUAUCUAAUUUCAAUUUUUUUUCGUUGUUUGGGUGUGGCUUUGCGAUGCGGUUUGAUUUUUGGUUUCAGGAAAAGUUAUCGAUGCGAUCUAAGGUUUUUUGCAAAAGAAGUUGUUUGAAUUUUGGCCUUUCUGUCUGCAACCUUGCAAGCUGUUUGCGAUCAAGGAUUUGGGUUUGGGCAGAUCAAUCCUGCAAACCGCUUCAAUAACAUGUCUUGGAACUCAAUUGGCCACUAUCAGCGCAGCCUCCAUAUUCUUGGUUGUUCUAGACUUUGUCAACAGUGCAUAGUUGUCUUCGGCAGAACUCGAUAGCAACUCUAGAAUUAUAUUGGGGACUCUCUAAAUUUUGGUUUUAGCUGCAGAUGAAGCGAAAUCAAAAGGUUAUAAAUUAGAGUUAUAAUUUAAUUAUUAUAUUUGAUGCAUCAUUUGAUUAAAUGAAUACAGUAGGAACAUUGAUUUGACGUAUGUGCUUUUGUAUGGAAAACUGAAUUUUGUGUGUUUAUAAGUGUGGGUAUACUCAAUAUUUAUUUUAAUUACAAUGGAAUUGACUGAAAAUUAUGGAGAAUUAGUGUAAGUUUACACACAUAAAGAAAUAGAAUGAAAAUGUAAGUAAAGAAAAAUUAGAAUGUAAUACAUAAUAUCUUUGUAUGUGUGUGUGUGUGUGUGUGUAAGGGAUUGAUGACUAAAUGUGCUAUGUGAAGAGAUUGCUUAUUUCGUUAGUUAAGGGCAGCACUUGAUAGAAGCAUAACCAAACCCAGGUAAGAGUCACAUUUUGGUUGCCUUCCUAUCCUUAUUUUUUGUUUUUCACUUAGCUCUAUGUUGUUAACUGCAAAUUUUGGUAUUUUGUUCCCUUUAGUUUUAUCUGCUAAUUAUUGUUCUACGAAUUGCAUUCUUCAGUUAAUUAAUGAUUAACUAGAAUGUCCCAAAAAAAAAAAAAUCAAGCAUUACAAUGUUCGGGAUGAUAAUUUACAUCCAAUAUGAUCAUUAGCCAGUCGAGAACCUAAUUUGGGAAUUGGGUUUAAAGUUUUAAUAGUUUUGUUGUGUGUAAAUUUUUUGCUUUGCCUACCAAGAAUCUAAAAACUAAAGGCUUAGUUAUUUUCCCCAAAUGGUUUUCAAUUUGUUGUAGGUAAACAAGAGCUACUGGAUUAUUAUGCACAGGGGAAUGGAAGGAAAGUAAAAAUUCAAGCUUUUAAUACAAAUUGGAAAUUGAGCGACACUAAACAAACGAUAGGUAAAACUGACCACUACUUUCUUUUCAUUUAAAUAUAAAUCAAUUGAUUAAGUCUGUGUAAAAUGAAGUUUCAAUUGUUUUCAAAUUCUAACAACGAUCUCCUACGCUUUAAGAUAAUCUAUUUAGAGUUUUGAUCCACUUUUAAUUACGCAGAAUUUCAAUUUUUUUUCCAUAUAAAGUUUCCAUUUUUCUUGAGUAAGAGAAGAAGCUUUAAUUUGGGUUUACAAUAUUUCCCUUUGUAGAUUUUCAAAGUAGGACCAAGCUUUAAAAAGGCACUUCAGGUUUUGGAAUUAUUAUUAUUAUUUUUUUUGGUUAUGCUUUUGUUAUAUCAGGUUCUAAAUUGCGCAUACCAUUUCUUUAAAUUAGAGAAAAUUAAGCACGAUCUUGCUUAUAUACAUAUUGUUAUUUUAAGAAACAAUUUUGUUUGUCUUUUCUAUAAUAAGAACAGCAAUUUACUUUUGGGUUUCGUUCUUAACUGAUUUCUGAACUUAUGCCCAAGUCUAAUCUACUCCAAAGACAGGCUGAGCAAAAGGAGGAACUUUUAAGCAGGUAUGUGUACUAUGUGUUUUAUUCGUUCUUAACUUCAUUGUUGGUUUCUGUACUAUUUUUCUGUGUCUAAAAUUUUGAAAUAAAUAUGAUCUUUUCACUAUUGAUUCUCAUUCCAAGUUUUUUCCACAGAAAAUAAAAUAACAAAUAAAUAUUUUGUUUCCCUUCUUCUACUUUGUUCUUUUGCAGCAAAACAAGCAUGAUUUUGUUGGUACUGCUUAUUUAGUGAAGCAACGGUUUCAUAUUGUGAACUGUUUUGCGUGUUUAUCACUUUAUUCUUUAUGGUUUCAAUUUCCUAAAUGAAGUUUGACAUGUAUGGAAUUUCACAAUUUACAACCAUAAACUUCAUUUCUCCCAUGGACACCUUUUUUGUUCCUUAUUGUUGAUAGAGUUGUAAAUAAAUUUGCACAUGUAUGUAAAUAGUAUUGUCUACUGUAUAUACAUAUAUAUAUAUAUAUAUGUAAUUUUUUUUAGAA